CCUACGGGAGGCAGCAGUGAGGAAUAUUGGUCAAUGGACGAGAGUCUGAACCAGCCAAGUAGCGUGAAGGAUGACUGCCCUAUGGGUUGUAAACUUCUUUUAUAAAGGAAUAAAACGAGGCACGUGUGCCUUGUGGCAUGUACUUUAUGAAUAAGGAUCGGCUAACUCCGUGCCAGAAGCCGCGGUAAUACGGGGGAUACGAGCGUUAUCCGGGUUUAUUGGGGUUAAAGGGAGCGUAGAUGGGUUGUUAAGGCAGUUGUGAAAGUUUGCGGCUCAAACGUAAAAUUGCAAUUGAUACUGGCAGUCUUGAGUAGAGUUGAGGUAAGCGGAAUUCGUGGUGUAGCGGUGAAAUG
This 353-nucleotide ribosomal RNA is filed under the name uncultured bacterium. RNAcentral describes it as "partial 16S ribosomal RNA". It matches the Rfam family "Bacterial small subunit ribosomal RNA", at positions 338 to 688 of the family's 1533-position model. The record is from RNAcentral.